GCUUGCUUUUUUGAUGACGAGUGGCGCACGGGUGCGUAACGCGUAUACAAUCUACCUUGUACAGGGGGAUAGCCUUUGGAAACGAAGAUUAAUACCCCAUAGUAUUUAGAUACGGCAUCGUAUCUAUCUUAAAAUUUUGGUGGUACAAGAUGAGUAUGCGUCCUAUUAGUUAGUUGGUAAGGUAACGGCUUACCAAGGCAUCGAUAGGUAGGGGUCCUGAGAGGGAGAUCCCCCACACUGGUACUGAGACACGGACCAGACUCCUACGGGAGGCAGCAGUGAGGAAUAUUGGACAAUGGUCGGAAGACUGAUCCAGCCAUGCCGCGUGUAGGAAGACUGCCCUAUGGGUUGUAAACUACUUUUAUACAGGAAGAAUAAGGCUUACGUGUAGGCUGAUGACGGUACUGUAAGAAUAAGCACCGGCUAACUCCGUGCCAGCAGCCGCGGUAAUACGGAGGGUGCAAGCGUUAUCCGGAAUCAUUGGGUUUAAAGGGUCCGUAGGCGGGCUAUUAAGUCAGAGGUGAAAGUUUGUGGCUCAACCAUAAAAUUGCCUUUGAUACUGGUAGUCUUGAAUUAUUGUGAAGUGGUUAGAAUAUGUAGUGUAGCGGUGAAAUGCUUAGAUAUUACAUAGAAUACCGAUUGCGAAGGCAGAUCACUAACAAUAUAUUGACGCUGAUGGACGAAAGCGUAGGUAGCGAACAGGAUUAGAUACCCAGGUAGUCUACGCCGUAACGAUGGUUACUAGCUGUGUGGUUUCGUAACUGCGUGGCUAAGCGAAAGUGAUAAGUAACCCACCUGGGGAGUACGUUCGCAAGGAUGAAACUCAAGGAAUUGACGGGGCCCGCACAAGCGGUGGAGCAUG
This 862-nucleotide ribosomal RNA is filed under the name uncultured bacterium. RNAcentral's name for it is "bacterial SSU rRNA". It matches the Rfam family "Bacterial small subunit ribosomal RNA", at positions 78 to 941 of the family's 1533-position model. The record is from RNAcentral.